AGAUUGAACGCUGGCGGCAUGCCUUACACAUGCAAGUCGAACGGCAGCGCGGGGCAACCUGGCGGCGAGUGGCGAACGGGUGAGUAAUAUAUCGGAACGUGCCCUGGAGUGGGGGAUAACGCAGCGAAAGUUGCGCUAAUACCGCAUACGAUCUAAGGAUGAAAGUGGGGGAUUCGCAAGAACCUCAUGCUCCUGGAGCGGCCGAUAUCUGACUUAGCUAGUUGGUAGGGGUAAAGCCUACGAAGGCGAUGAUCGGUAGCGUGGUCUGAGAGGAU
Molecule: ribosomal RNA, 275 nt
Filed under: uncultured soil bacterium
Lineage: Bacteria
Description: partial 16S ribosomal RNA
Rfam family: Bacterial small subunit ribosomal RNA
Source: RNAcentral